Molecule: ribosomal RNA, 468 nt
Filed under: uncultured bacterium
Lineage: Bacteria
Description: partial 16S ribosomal RNA
Rfam family: Bacterial small subunit ribosomal RNA
Source: RNAcentral
GACGAACGCUGGCGGCGUGCUUAACACAUGCAAGUCGAACGGAAAGGCCCUGCUUUUGUGGGGUGCUCGAGUGGCGAACGGGUGAGUAACACGUGAGUAACCUGCCCUUGACUUUGGGAUAACUUCAGGAAACUGGGGCUAAUACCGGAUAGGAGCUCCUGCUGCAUGGUGGGGGUUGGAAAGUUUCGGCGGUUGGGGAUGGACUCGCGGCUUAUCAGCUUGUUGGUGGGGUAGUGGCUUACCAAGGCUUUGACGGGUAGCCGGCCUGAGAGGGUGACCGGCCACAUUGGGACUGAGGGACGGCCCAGACUCCGACGGGCGGCAACAGUCGGGAAUAUUGCGCAAUGGGCGCAAGUCUGAUGAGGCAACGCCGCGUGUGGGAUGACGGCCUUCGGGUUGUAAACCGCUUUCGCCUGUGACGAAGCGUGAGUGACGGUAAUGGGUAAAGAAGCACAGGCUAACUACGUG